GAACGCUGGCGGCAGGCCUAACACAUGCAAGUCGAGCGGUAACAGGAAUUAGCUUGCUAAUUUGCUGACGAGCGGCGGACGGGUGAGUAAUGCCUGGGAAUAUGCCUUAGUGUGGGGGAUAACUAUUGGAAACGAUAGCUAAUACCGCAUAACGUCUUCGGACCAAAGGGGGGGACCUUCGGGCCUCUCGCGCUAAGAUUAGCCCAGGUGGGAUUAGCUAGUUGGUGAGGUAAAGGCUCACCAAGGCAACGAUCCCUAGCUGGUCUGAGAGGAUGAUCAGCCACACUGGAACUGAGACACGGUCCAGACUCCUACGGGAGGCAGCAGUGGGGAAUAUUGCACAAUGGGGGAAACCCUGAUGCAGCCAUGCCGCGUGUAUGAAGAAGGCCUUCGGGUUGUAAAGUACUUUCAGUCGUGAGGAAGGCAUUGUAGUUAAUAGCUGCAGUGCUUGACGUUAGCGACAGAAGAAGCACCGGCUAACUCCGUG
This 487-nucleotide ribosomal RNA is filed under the name uncultured bacterium. RNAcentral's name for it is "bacterial SSU rRNA". It matches the Rfam family "Bacterial small subunit ribosomal RNA", at positions 31 to 507 of the family's 1533-position model. The record is from RNAcentral.